UACAGAGGUCCCAAGCGUUGUUCGGAUUCAUUGGGCGUAAAGCGCGCGUAGGCGGUUACGCAAGUCGGUUGUGAAAAUCCGGGGCUCAACCCCGGACCUGCAUCCGAUACUGCGUGACUAGAGGUAGGUAGGGGAGAUCGGAAUUCCUGGUGUAGCGGUGAAAUGACGCAGAUAUCAGGAGGAACACCGGUGGCGAAGGCGGAUCUCUGGGCCUUACCUGACGCUCAGGCGCGAAAGCUAGGGGAGCGAACAGG
RNAcentral lists this ribosomal RNA (254 nucleotides) under uncultured bacterium. RNAcentral's name for it is "partial 16S ribosomal RNA". It matches the Rfam family "Bacterial small subunit ribosomal RNA", at positions 524 to 776 of the family's 1533-position model. The record is from RNAcentral.